RNAcentral lists this ribosomal RNA (253 nucleotides) under uncultured bacterium. Its description in RNAcentral is "partial 16S ribosomal RNA". It matches the Rfam family "Bacterial small subunit ribosomal RNA", at positions 524 to 776 of the family's 1533-position model. The record is from RNAcentral.
GACGGAGGGUGCUAGCGUUGUUCGGAAUCACUGGGCGUAAAGCGCACGUAGGCGGCUAUUCAAGUCGGGGGUGAAAGCCCGGGGCUCAACCCCGGAACAGCCCUCGAAACUAGAUAGCUAGAAUCUUGGAGAGGCGAGUGGAAUUCCGAGUGUAGAGGUGAAAUUCGUAGAUAUUCGGAAGAACACCAGUGGCGAAGGCGACUCGCUGGACAAGUAUUGACGCUGAGGUGCGAAAGCGUGGGGAGCAAACAGG